AGAGGGAGGGUGACAGGGGCUGCUCCUGGGGACCCACGGUCGGGAAGAAACAUCUCCCCAAGGGGGCCACUGUCAGCAGAGGCUGACUGAACAGAAGGAAGGAGGGUGCUGCCUGCCCAGGGGGCAGCAAGAACAAAGGCCCCGGGGUAGGACCUGCCUGGAAUGUUCCCGGAAUGGCGGCAGGAGAAGAGGGAAGCAGGGCAGGCAGGAAAGUGGCCAGGUUGCCUGGGACCUUGCAAGCUUCUCUCCUGCGAGAGGUGGAGCCAGGGGAGGGUUCCUGCCCUGACCAGGAAAAAAUAAAAAUGUUCCAAGGUCAACCAAAAAGUCUGACAGUACCAAAUGUUGGUGAGGAGGUGGAGCAACUAAGAUCCUCAGUCACCACCGCUAGGAGGAUACACAGAUUUGACCACCUUGGGAGGCUGUGUGGCAGCGCCCACUAAAUCUGAAGCUACCCCACCCUCUGCCCUGGGCUACGCACUCCUGGGUAUAUUCCCUGAAGAAACGCAGGCACCGGCACCCCAGGAGAUGCUACAAAGAGAUGGCUCGCACCAGCGCAGCAGGAGAUGGAGGAACAGAAUAUUAUAUGGGGCUGGGCACGGUGGCUCACGCCUGGAAUGCCGGCACUUUGGGAAGCUGAGGUGGGUGGAUCACCUGAGGUCAAGAGUUCAAGACUCGCCUGGCCAACGUGGUGAAACCCCCUCUCUACUAAAAAUUAAAAAAAAAAAUUAGCCAGGCAUAGCAGUGUAUGCCUGUAAUCCCAGUUACUCGGGAGGCUGAGGCAGGUGAAUCGCUUGAACCCAGGAGGCAGAGGCUGCAGUGAGCCAAGAUUGCACCACUGCACUCCAGCCUGGGUGACAGAGCGAGACUCUGUGUCAAAGAAAAAAAAAGAAUAUUAUACAGCAACAAAGAUGAAUGACUACAGAUACACUCAGCACACAGAUGGAUCUCACAGGCCUAAGGGCGAAAGAAAGCACAGACAAGGACAUACUGGAAGAUUCCAUUUAUGUCAAGUUCAAAAGCAGGCAAGAUGACAUUCUGUAAUUCAAGGAUGCAUACCUCAUGGUAAAAACUAUCAGGAAAAGCAAGGACACAGUGACCACCAAGGUCAGGAGAGCACUCACGACUGUGGUCGUGAUGGACAGGGGUUAUGGGCAGGCGGCUUUUGGGAGGUUGUGUUCUGUCUUUACCGAGGUGGUGGGGAAGCGUUGUUCACUUUGUAAUUCUUUGCUAAACUUACCUGUGCAUUUUAUGCACUUUUCUAUGGGCAUAUUAUAAUUGACAAUUAUUAAAGGUUUUUUAAAAGCA
This is a long non-coding RNA of Pan troglodytes (chimpanzee), 1305 nucleotides long. RefSeq lists it as uncharacterized. The transcript is spliced from 2 exons. NCBI's taxonomy places the organism in Eukaryota, Metazoa, Chordata, Mammalia, Primates, Hominidae. The record is from RefSeq and is a predicted model, not a curated record.